This is a long non-coding RNA of Neofelis nebulosa (Clouded leopard), 206 nucleotides long. RefSeq lists it as uncharacterized. The record is from RefSeq and is a predicted model, not a curated record. NCBI's taxonomy places the organism in Eukaryota, Metazoa, Chordata, Mammalia, Carnivora, Felidae. The transcript has 2 exons.
UGGCACAACCUAGUUGCUUAAUAAAAAAAUAUGCUGGAUAUGUGGUGCCUGGAUGGCUCAGCACCCCAAGCGUCUGACUCUUGAUUUCAGCUCAGGUCAUGAUCUAGCAGUUCAUGAGUUCAAGCCCCGUAUCAGGCGUGCUUGGGAUUCUCUGUCUUCCUCUCUCUCUGCCCCUCCCCUACUUUCUUUCUCUCUCUCUCUCUCUC